UUCCCUACGGGACGCAGCAGUGAGGAAUAUUGGUCAAUGGGCGGGAGCCUUAACCAGCCAAGUCGCGUGAGGGAAGACGGUCCUAUGGAUUGUAAACCUCUUUAGGCGGGGAGCAAUGCCGGGCACGCGUGCCCGGAGGGAGAGUACCCGCAGAAUAAGCAUCGGCUAACUCCGUGCCAGCAGCCGCGGUAAUACGGAGGAUGCGAGCGUUAUCCGGAUUUAUUGGGUUUAAAGCGAGCGCAGGCGGUUGGAUAAGUCUGAAGUUAAAGGCUGUGGCUUAACC
This 283-nucleotide ribosomal RNA is filed under the name uncultured bacterium. Its description in RNAcentral is "partial 16S ribosomal RNA". It matches the Rfam family "Bacterial small subunit ribosomal RNA", at positions 335 to 614 of the family's 1533-position model. The record is from RNAcentral.